AUACUUACCUGGCAGAGGAGAUACCAUGAUCAUAAGGUGGUUUUCCCAGGACAAGGCUCACCCAUUGCACUCAGGUCUAUCCCUGCGAUUUCCCCAAUGUGGGAAAUUUCACUGCAUAAUUUGUGGUAAUGGGGGGCUGCCUUUGUGCUUCCCCCUG
Artibeus jamaicensis (Jamaican fruit-eating bat) is the source of this 157-nucleotide small nuclear RNA. RefSeq annotates it as U1 spliceosomal RNA. The transcript has a single exon. Lineage: Eukaryota; Metazoa; Chordata; Mammalia; Chiroptera; Phyllostomidae. The record is from RefSeq and is a predicted model, not a curated record.